Molecule: ribosomal RNA, 492 nt
Filed under: uncultured bacterium
Lineage: Bacteria
Description: partial 16S ribosomal RNA
Rfam family: Bacterial small subunit ribosomal RNA
Source: RNAcentral
AGUGAACGCUGGCGGUAGGCCUAACACAUGCAAGUCGAACGGCAGCACAGUAAGAGCUUGCUCUUACGGGUGGCGAGUGGCGGACGGGUGAGGAAUACAUCGGAAUCUACUUUUUCGUGGGGGAUAACGUAGGGACACUUACGCUAAUACCGCAUACGACCUACGGGUGAAAGCAGGGGAUCUUCGGACCUUGCGCGAUUGAAUGAGCCGAUGUCGGAUUAGCUAGUUGGCGGGGUAAAGGCCCACCAAGGCGACGAUCCGUAGCUGGUCUGAGAGGAUGAUCAGCCACACUGGAACUGAGACACGGUCCAGACUCCUACGGGAGGCAGCAGUGGGGAAUAUUGGACAAUGGGCGCAAGCCUGAUCCAGCCAUACCGCGUGGGUGAAGAAGGUCUUCGGGUUGUAAAGCCCUUUUGUUGGGAAAGAAAAGCAGCAGGUUAAUACCCCGCUGUUCUGACGGUACCCAAAGAAUAAGCACCGGCUAACUUCGUG